RNAcentral lists this RNase P RNA (331 nucleotides) under bovine gut metagenome. RNAcentral's name for it is "Bacterial RNase P class B". It matches the Rfam family "Bacterial RNase P class B". From Rfam's summary of the family: Ribonuclease P (RNase P) is a ubiquitous endoribonuclease, found in archaea, bacteria and eukarya as well as chloroplasts and mitochondria. Its best characterised activity is the generation of mature 5'-ends of tRNAs by cleaving the 5'-leader elements of precursor-tRNAs. The record is from RNAcentral.
UUUAGGCAAACGCUGCAAAAAAAGUUUUGUAGAGGAAAGUCCAUGCUCACAAAAGCUGCGAUGCUUUUAACGAUUGUGCUAAGGGAAAAAAUAACCUUAGGUAGAGAAAUCUAACGGCUUCGAAAUGACCUAAGCCAUUGGUAUGGUCACAUUAGAUAUAAAAGUGCCAUAGUGACGAUGCUUAUUAGAAAUAAUAAGAGUGGAACGAGGUAAACCCCACAAGUGAGAAACCCAAAUUAUGGUAGGGGAACUUUGAUAAGGAACUGAACUGAUUCAAAGAUCGCAAGAUAGAUAAAUGUUUGCCACCUUAGGGUACAGAACAUGGCUUAUU